UAAGCCCCUCGUACAAAUGAAGUCAGCUCACAAUGCUCAUCCCGACAAAGGAAACUCUGUCUUUAUACAGUGUAGGGACUGAGGUGGAUUUUGUCAGAGAAAGUGGCUGGCUCUUUAAACUGUAGAUCGAGCUGGAAGAAGAAAGCAAAAGUUUGCAUUUUCUUUUUUUGCCUUUAGAAACCCUGUCUAGGGAGAAGAUCACUCAUUUCUAGGUUCUACAUCGUAGCAAGCAUCCAUGUCAUCUGACGACCCCACGGAGCAGCAGGAUGUACGCCAACUGUCACAAAACACAUAGCCGAAUUUUGUUCAUUUACUAAAAGAAGAAGAAUAAAUUUCAUUUAAUUUGCAGAAAACGAGGUUCGAUCCAUGAUAAAUUCACUCUAUUGAUUUGGACCCAUGGUGGGGCAGUUCAUUAUGACAGAGGACGUGCAUCCGGCAAGGCUGCUUGGCUCCUGACUGAAUUGAGAGAGGAAAGAGAACUGGGAUGUCACAGUCUCCUCGGGAAGGCGCACCUCCCCAAACUGAAACAGGCUCUUCCAUCCUCCAGCAGGCUCCAUCCUAACAAUUUCCUCAUAUUCUAAUAGUGUUAUAAUCUGGGGACCAAGCCUUUAACACAUGGCUUUUGGGGGGAACAUUUCAGAUCCAGAGUACAGUAUCAGCUACCUGUUCCAAGUCACCUAAUCUCCUUUCUGCCAGAGGCAAAUGUAUUGACUUCAUAGGGUGAUGUGCUGUGAGGGUUAAAUGAGAAAACCUUAUUUAUAUAGAUAAUGUGUGUGUGUGCAUGCGUGUGUGUGUGUGUGUGUGUGCGUGCACGCGUGAGCACUCAUGGGCAUACAUUUGUGCAGAGUAUGUGCAUCAGUGCCAGUGUGUGUGGAGGCAGGAGGUUGAUUUUUAGUAUUUUUCUCUAUUACUCUCUA
Long non-coding RNA from Mus musculus (house mouse), 917 nucleotides. RefSeq annotates it as predicted gene, 32946. NCBI's taxonomy places the organism in Eukaryota, Metazoa, Chordata, Mammalia, Rodentia, Muridae. The record is from RefSeq and is a predicted model, not a curated record. The transcript has 3 exons.